AGACUCUGGAGGGACAGACUGUGGACGUUAGUGUGAAGGAUGGCGAUGUGCUUGUUCUGAUUCCCGACCCUUCUGGCAACUUUUCCCAGCUGAAGGUUGAAGUCCUCAGCAAAGUUGCUCCUUUCUUAUCUUAAGAUCGGUAAGAUGAAGUUGGUGAAGUUGCAGGCUCAUUCAAAUUUGAUCACAAUUGAGGGCGAGCAGGAAACAAUGCGCAAGUUCUGUUUGUGUUUAUUCAAGAGCUGUCUAGCACUGUUCUUGUGUGAUUGCUUCUGGCAGUGUCUAUAUACCGAAUUCUGCUUUAUGUUGUUUAUUCCAGUUAGAAAAGGGUUGUGCUACUGUCAACAAUAUUAACAAUAAGAAGUGAUACUCAUAUCCACACUAAUGUCUGUCAUACAUUGUCAUCAACUUCGAACAAAUCUGGAACAAUGUGCAGCCUUUUGUUUCCGUUCUUUCGCAACCUCUGCUGCAACCGUCCUAGGCAAUUGGUAUUUAGAACUGGAAUUGUGAGGUCUUUUCAUCGCCAUGAAUUCCAGAUUCAAAGGUGGCACAAUUUCUGUUGGAA
Molecule: non-coding RNA, 562 nt
Organism: Physcomitrium patens
Lineage: Eukaryota; Viridiplantae; Streptophyta; Bryopsida; Funariales; Funariaceae
Source: RefSeq, a predicted model, not a curated record